UACGUAGGGGGCAAGCGUUGUCCGGAAUCAUUGGGCGUAAAGCGCGCGUAGGCGGCCCUGUAAGUCCGUUGUGAAAGUCAAAGGCUCAACCUUUGAACGCCGAUGGAUACUGCAGGGCUAGAGUCCGGAAGAGGCGAGUGGAAUUCCUGGUGUAGCGGUGGAAUGCGCAGAUAUCAGGAGGAACACCAAUAGCGAAGGCAGCUCGCUGGGACGGUACUGACGCUAAGGCGCGAAAGCGUGGGGAGCGAACAGG
Molecule: ribosomal RNA, 253 nt
Filed under: uncultured bacterium
Lineage: Bacteria
Description: partial 16S ribosomal RNA
Rfam family: Bacterial small subunit ribosomal RNA
Source: RNAcentral